Molecule: long non-coding RNA, 933 nt
Filed under: Homo sapiens (human)
Lineage: Eukaryota; Metazoa; Chordata; Mammalia; Primates; Hominidae
Description: HSALNT0155982
Source: RNAcentral
CCACGUGUUACCUAAGAGAGCUUUCCAGCCUGUGCUAAGAAAACUGCCCCACAUCAUCUGCAGUAGGACGGGGGAGUUGGAGCCCUGGUCAGGCCACUCUGCUACUGACCACAGUUUUCUCAUCUCUAAAAAGGCGCAGUAACAAUAUAAUUACCGUAUGCAGUCCCCCAGGAUACAGGGUCAAAGGAGAGCACAACCAUCGCAGUUGGAAGCCCAUGGGCCCAGUGCAGAUGCAUCUGACUUACGAAACUUCAGUGACACCUGCUCUGUGCCAGACACUGAAGAUGGAGCAGUGAACAGCACUGACCCAGCCUGUCCUCCUGUUGCCUGCAGGCCAGAAGCAAGGUCUCGCUGUGUUACCCUGGCUGGAGUGCAGUGGCUACUUACAGGCAUGAUCAUAGCAUACUGCAGCCUCGAACUCCUGGACUAGAGCAGUUCUCCUGCCUCAGCCUCCAGAGCAGCUGGGACUGCAGACACGCACCACAGAGCCCAGCCUGAGUCAUUUUGAUUCUGUAACUGGCUUCCUCUCGGCGGGCAGGCUCACACCCUCCACCCCCAGCUGGAGAUGGAAGGAGGAUGCUCACCGCCCAUUCCUCAUGCAGGCCAUCGAUGGAAAUGUCAGACAGUGCGAGUCCACGCCUGAACACUUCUGGGGUCCGCUCUGGGACUGACACUGGCAGAUCCAUCGGUGAGCUCCCGCCUGCCACCUCUGGGCCUGCAUUGCGGUGAUAGGGCCAAGGGCCUGGGCCUUCAAUUCUCCAGACUUGCCAAAAUGCUCAGCGCAGGCCUCGUCGGCAACUGCAGACAAGCAGAGGCAGCACCUGGGCUCUGCCUGUGCCUGGCACAGUGAAGCGAGGGUGGGGGCAGGAAUGAGGGUCCUCUCCAUGCAAGGGGGGAAGAUAGAAGAACAAAAUUUCACCCUAAUGUAGUGUC